UACAGAGGGUGCGAGCGUUGUUCGGAAUUAUUGGGCGUAAAGGGCGCGUAGGCGGUGCGGUAAGUCACCUGUGAAAUCUCCUGGCUCAACUGGGAGCUUGCAGGCGAAACUGCCGUGCUGGAGUGUGGGAGAGGGUGCGUGGAAUUCCCGGUGUAGCGGUGAAAUGCGUAGAUAUCGGGAGGAACGACCUGUGGCGAAAGCGGACGCACUGGACCACAACUGACGCUGAGGCGCGAAAAGCCAGGGGAGGCAAGCGGG
Molecule: ribosomal RNA, 258 nt
Filed under: uncultured bacterium
Lineage: Bacteria
Description: partial 16S ribosomal RNA
Rfam family: Bacterial small subunit ribosomal RNA
Source: RNAcentral